Xyrauchen texanus (razorback sucker) is the source of this 119-nucleotide ribosomal RNA. NCBI's taxonomy places the organism in Eukaryota, Metazoa, Chordata, Actinopteri, Cypriniformes, Catostomidae. The record is from RefSeq and is a predicted model, not a curated record.
GCUUAUGGCCAUACCAUCCUGAGCGCACCUGAUCUCUUCCGAUCUCGGAAGCUAAGUAGGGUUGGGCCUGGUUAGUACUUGGAUGGGAGAGUACCUGGGAAUACCAGGUGCUGUAAGCU